GCCGGAUAAUCGCGCUCCUAUGAGUGAGGAAAGUCCGUGCAUCCAAGGACAACUCGCCGGAGAAACUCCGGACGGUGUGAACCGGUGGAUCGGACCACAGAAAGGGGUUAUGGUAUUUACCGUUAACCCAAAAGACUGCCGAUGGAAUAAUGUAAAUUACUCACAGGCGAUGGUGCAAAGGUGAGGUAAGAGCUCACCGGAUAUACUGAGAAGUAUAUGCCAGGCAACCCCCGAGUGGAUGCAAGAUUGAAUCAAGCGUUUGAGGUGUCCGCCAAGCUUGGAAAAUCGCUGGAGAUUAGGAGUAAUCCUAAUACGAGAUAGAUGAUUAUCAGGGGUUCCCCCGAACAGAACACGGCUUAUGAGCUGCUUU
RNAcentral lists this RNase P RNA (370 nucleotides) under bovine gut metagenome. Its description in RNAcentral is "Bacterial RNase P class A". It matches the Rfam family "Bacterial RNase P class A". From Rfam's summary of the family: Ribonuclease P (RNase P) is a ubiquitous endoribonuclease, found in archaea, bacteria and eukarya as well as chloroplasts and mitochondria. The record is from RNAcentral.